RNAcentral lists this ribosomal RNA (460 nucleotides) under uncultured bacterium. RNAcentral describes it as "partial 16S ribosomal RNA". It matches the Rfam family "Bacterial small subunit ribosomal RNA", at positions 338 to 795 of the family's 1533-position model. The record is from RNAcentral.
CCUACGGGUGGCAGCAGUGAGGAAUAUUGGUCAAUGGGCUCAAGCCUGAACCAGCCAAGUCGCGUGAGGGAAGACGGCCCUAUGGGUUGUAAACCUCUUUUGUCAGGGAGCAACGCCCGCUACUUGUAGCCGGGCUGAGAGUACCUGAAGAAAAAGCAUCGGCUAACUCCGUCCCAGCAGCCGCGGUAAUACGGAGGAUGCGAGCGUUAUCCGGAUUUAUUUGGUUUAAAGGGUGCGUAGGCGGAAUGUCAAGUCAGCGGUAAAAUAGCGGGGCUCAACCUCGCUCCGCCGUUGAAACUGGCGGUCUUGAGUGGGCGAGAAGUAUGCGGAAUGCGUGGUGUAGCGGUGAAAUGCAUAGAGAUCACGCAGAACUCCGAUUGCGAAGGCAGCAUACCGGCGCCCGACUGACGCUGAAGCACGAAAGCGUGGGUAUCGAACAGGAUUAGAUACCCCUGUAGUC